This is a non-coding RNA of Vicugna pacos (alpaca), 482 nucleotides long. The record is from RefSeq and is a predicted model, not a curated record. NCBI's taxonomy places the organism in Eukaryota, Metazoa, Chordata, Mammalia, Artiodactyla, Camelidae.
CCUUUGUGCUAGAUGAACGAAUGUCUCUCCACAUGCUCAGUUCUGAGAAAUAAGUGUGUGUGGAAAUGUCCUUCAAAUUGCUUUUUGUGAACACAAAGAUUCUUUUCAGAUGGAAACUCCUCUACAUACAUAUAUCUGGGGAGGUACUGGCUCCAAUUCGUGUUUGCAGUGAAAACUACAAGAGCUUCAAACCGGCACUAAGAAACAGACUGAGAAACCAGAGAAAAAGUUUUUCCUGCAAACCAUUCACGUUUUGCUAGAUGAGCGAACGUCUCUCCACAUGCUCAUGUCUGAGAGAUUAUUGUUUGUGGAAGCCAUCUUUCACCUACCAUAUUGGGAACACAAAGUUUCUAUUCAGUUGGAAAUUCCUCUACAUAAAUAUAUAUGUGGAGGUAAUGGCUCCAACUCAGAUUUACAGUGAAACUGCAAGAACUUCAUACCGGCACUAGGAAACAGACGGAGAAACCAGAGUAAGUGUUUCU